AUGUACCACGCGUAAACUCCGGUUCUUCCGCGCCGUCCGCACCCACCUAACGACUGCUCGCUACGUUUUGUUAGCC
Molecule: small RNA, 76 nt
Filed under: Xanthomonas fragariae
Lineage: Bacteria; Pseudomonadati; Pseudomonadota; Gammaproteobacteria; Lysobacterales; Lysobacteraceae
Description: sX9 sRNA
Rfam family: Xanthomonas sRNA sX9
Source: RNAcentral